GAUGAACGCUGGCGGCGUGCUUAACACAUGCCAGUCGAACGAGAAGUGAAGACGGAAACCUUCGGGCGGAAGGCUUUAUUUCGAGUGGCGGACGGGUGAGUAACGCGUGGGUAACCUGCCUCAUACAGGGGGAUAACAGUUGGAAACGACUGUUAAUACCGCAUAAGACCACAGCACCGCAUGGUGCGGGGGUAAAAACUCUGGUGGUAUGAGAUGGACCCGCGUUCGAUUAGCCAGUUGGCGGGGUAACGGCCCACCAAAGCGACGAUCGAUAGCCGAUCUGAGAGGAUGACCGGCCACAUUGGGACUGAGACACGGCCCAAACUCCUACGGGAGGCAGCAGUGGGGAAUAUUGCACAAUGGGGGAAACCCUGAUGCAGCGACGCCGCGUGAGUGAAGAAGUAUUUCGGGAUGUAAAGCUCUAUCAGCAGGGAAGAAAAUGACGGUACCUGAGGAAGAAGCCCCGGCUAACUACGUG
RNAcentral lists this ribosomal RNA (478 nucleotides) under uncultured bacterium. RNAcentral describes it as "partial 16S ribosomal RNA". It matches the Rfam family "Bacterial small subunit ribosomal RNA", at positions 28 to 507 of the family's 1533-position model. The record is from RNAcentral.